UACAGAGGGGGCAAGCGUUGUUCGGAAUUACUGGGCGUAAAGGGCGCGUAGGCGGCCUGUUAAGUCGAACGUGAAAUCCCCGGGCUCAACCCGGGAACUGCGUCCGAUACUGGCAGGCUUGAAUCCGGGAGAGGGAUGCGGAAUUCCAGGUGUAACGGUGAAAUGCGUAGAUAUCGGAAGGAACACCAGUGGCGAAAGCGGCUUCCUGGUCCAGCACCGACGUCAGGCACGAAAGCGUAGGGAGCAAACAGG
Molecule: ribosomal RNA, 252 nt
Filed under: uncultured bacterium
Lineage: Bacteria
Description: partial 16S ribosomal RNA
Rfam family: Bacterial small subunit ribosomal RNA
Source: RNAcentral